RNAcentral lists this ribosomal RNA (318 nucleotides) under Acetomicrobium thermoterrenum DSM 13490. Its description in RNAcentral is "bacterial LSU rRNA". It matches the Rfam family "Bacterial large subunit ribosomal RNA", at positions 1 to 309 of the family's 2925-position model. The record is from RNAcentral. Lineage: Bacteria; Thermotogati; Synergistota; Synergistia; Synergistales; Acetomicrobiaceae.
UAAGGACAAGGUAGUUAGGGGCGCACGGUGGAUGCCUAGGCACCAACGGCCGAUGAAGGGCGUGGCAAGCUGCGAUAAGCCGCGGGAAGCUGCAAGCAAGCUUUGAUCCGCGGAUUCCCGAAUGGGGAAACCCGACUCGGCAAACCCGAGUCACCUGGCAUUUGCCAGGGGGAUACCCGGCGAAGUGAAACAUCUCAGUAACCGGAGGAAAAGAAAUCGAAGGAGAUACCCCAAGUAGUGGUGAGCGAAAGGGGUGUAGCCCAAACCGAACGCGUGUCAAAGCCUGCGGGCGUUGCGCGAUCGGGGUUGUGGGAAGGC